GCACACUCUGCUCACAUCAAGACCCUUGAAGAAUAAAGGAGUGUCACUACUGUGAAGUUGAGAUAUUGACUGACAGACAAGGAAACUUGAAAUGGGGAGUGGAGAAAACUAGUUACAAGAAUCGAUGGGACAAGUUGCAAACAGGUAUGUUGUAUUAGUCAUUUAAACUUAGUCUUUACUUGGAUGUAAGUAUAUUUGCAUAUAUAUUAGCUAAUUUUUUUUUGUUCACGUAGUCCAUUUUCCUGUCUUCUGAAAUAAAGUGUGUUAGUAAUAAAUUUUGUAUCUCAACAUUUACAUUUCAGAAUAUCAAAAGGGAAAUGUGACAAACCUAGAAGAGAAGUGAAAUCACCACCCACUAGAAGAGGAAAUCUGUAUUUUCUUUUGAAGAGAAAACCGACCUAAUUUUGGCUUUGCAAAGGAUAGUUGUAUUAUGUUAAGUGGAAGUACGGUUUUGCUAUCAUCUUCAUUUCAGUAUAGCUAAAAGAGGUGUAAAUGGAUACCAACUUGACAAAAACGUGAUGGUGAUAAAUUUGAAUUUUCUCAACUUAGCUAAACUGCAACUACAUUUCUAAGAAUUCUUGUCGCUGAAGAGUUACAAGUUAGUGGGGGCUGUGGAAGGUGUUUGAUGGGAUUUGUAGGGUCUCUGGAAUCAAGAGGCAGCCACAAAUGGAAGCUGGAUACAAAGUGCUGAGAGUAAGGACAAACCCACCGGAAGCGAUCGGAUCCAGGAUGAACUGGGACCUGGGGUGGCCUCUCUUGGUGCUCAAGGUUCCAAUUUGAAUAUAUCUGUCCUUUAAAAGAUGCUGGAGUCCUUUACUAGGGUUAUAAAUGGUGCCUGUGACAGACAUCAGAGAAACUGAAAGAGAAUUUGUUGGGAACCUCAGCAAAAGUCAAAAGUGUAUUCAUGUGUUCGAGUUUAGAGCUGGAAUGUUCACCACAAGCUUCACAUGUUCAGAGGAUGCAUCUUGCUUGCUGCUUUGCGUGGAGAGAACAAAUACUGAAGUCAAAAUUCUACCAGCAAGACCUGGAUUUAUACCACCUGAUGAGGACUAGGGCUGAGCUCCAGUCCUCAAUGCCUGCUUGUUUAAUGACUGGACUUAUGAUGAGGCAAACUGUUCAGACUUCAGAUCCACCGCUAGGACUUACCACCCAUGUUCCAACUUCCAAUGCAGGAACAUGAGUGACAGUGUUUGCUGAUGGUUGCUUUUCUUGCUUGCAGAUACUUGUAAGUAUACCAGUCAUCACUAUUCUCUUGCUCAGUGGCUACUCUACAAAGCAGGUAAGGCAUGAAUCUGCAAGUUGGGGCUGGCAGUUUUGAUCUCUAGUUUUCAAGGCUAAUUAUAUUCCAGUUACUUUUUGGAAAAGAGGGUAGUAUUCUCCCAGUGGUAUUAUUUCUGUUAUUUAUUAAAUGUUUGUACAUGUGAGGUUGCUUUGUGUCACUCUAACUUACCCUUUUCGUCAUUUUUCUUCCCCUGCACUAGGUUUAUGGUACCUCCAGCUAUAGUAAAG
RNAcentral lists this long non-coding RNA (1509 nucleotides) under Chinchilla lanigera (long-tailed chinchilla). Its description in RNAcentral is "lncRNA (ENSCLAG00000023752.1)". The record is from RNAcentral. Lineage: Eukaryota; Metazoa; Chordata; Mammalia; Rodentia; Chinchillidae.